ACCCGCUGAAUUUAAGCAUAUAAGUAAGUGGUGGAAAUUAAACCAAAUGGGAUUUCUUUAGUAAUUGCGAAUGAACAAGGAUAUGCUUAGCUUGACAAAUGGAGCUUUUGGCUUUGAGUUGUAUUGUGGAAAUGUACCACCAACAGAGGUGCAAGUGYCAGCCAUUUGAAAGAAAGCGUCAAUGAGGGUGAGAAUCCUGUUUGUCAUGUGCAGCCCUCUGUGCACGGUGUAUAUUUGCUGAGUCACACUCCUUGGCAUUGGAAUGCAAAGUGGGUGGUAAGUUUCAUACAAAGGUAAAUAUGCAAUUGAGACUGAUAGCACACAAGUACCAUGAGGGAAAUAUGAAAAGGACUUUGAAAAGAGAAUUAAAUGAGUUUGUAUUUGCUGAACACAAAGCAAACAGACUUGAUUUGCUUGGUGAGAUUGUAGUGCUUGCUUGACAAUAGGUUUUGGCUGUGGGUGAAAUGAUUCUUUCUUUGCAUGCCAGGUUCUAUGUGUACAUUUGAUUACCUUUGCACAUGAAUGGYAAUUUUCCUGCGGGGGGUGGAUUGCAUGUGCAUGUAAUGAUUUGUGUUUUGAUGAAUGUGUCUGGUGUAUCUGUUUUUGUUCCAUGUGUUUGAGGUUGCUUCCUUCCUUGGGCUUACAAGCCCUGACACACACAAUCUGGCAAAAUGUUUCUGCUUGACCCGUCUUGAAACACGGUCCAAGG
RNAcentral lists this ribosomal RNA (709 nucleotides) under Alexandrium tamarense. RNAcentral describes it as "LSU rRNA". It matches the Rfam family "Eukaryotic large subunit ribosomal RNA", at positions 23 to 671 of the family's 3401-position model. Lineage: Eukaryota; Dinophyceae; Gonyaulacales; Pyrocystaceae. The record is from RNAcentral.